RNAcentral lists this ribosomal RNA (427 nucleotides) under Kwonkan sp. MYG172. RNAcentral's name for it is "partial 16S ribosomal RNA". It matches the Rfam family "Bacterial large subunit ribosomal RNA", at positions 1834 to 2597 of the family's 2925-position model. Lineage: Eukaryota; Metazoa; Arthropoda; Arachnida; Araneae; Anamidae. The record is from RNAcentral.
UAAAAGAAAUCACUUUUAGUAGCGCCUGCUCAAUGAUAUUUCAAUAGCCGCAGCCCCCUGUGCUAAGGUAGCAUAAUCAUUUGCCUAAUAAUUAUAGGAUAGAAUGAAAGGUAGUCCAUGUUUUCUUCUUUAUAAAAAAGGCUAUUCAAACUUAAAAUUUUAGUAAAAAUACUAAAAUAAUUAGGGGGACGACAAGACCCUGUCGAACUUUACUUUUACGUUUAGCUGGGGCGGCAAAAAAUUACACCUUUUUCCCUCACCAACCUAACGUCCCCAAAAAUGGGAGAAAACAAGUUACCGCAGGGAUAACAGCAUAAUUCUUUCCCAGAGACCUUAUCCAAGAAACAGAUUGUGACCUCGAUGUUGAAUUAAAAUUCUUUUGAAAGCAAAAUUUCAAAAAGAGGGUCUGUUCGACCCUUAAAAAUUU